GUGGCUGUAGCUCAGUUGGUUAGAGCGCCUGAUUGUGGAUCAGGAGGCCGUGGGUUCAAAUCCCAUCAGCCACCCCA
This 77-nucleotide transfer RNA is filed under the name Rhodospirillaceae bacterium. Its description in RNAcentral is "tRNA-His". It matches the Rfam family "tRNA". Rfam says of the family: Transfer RNA (tRNA) molecules are approximately 80 nucleotides in length. The record is from RNAcentral. RNAcentral also lists the same sequence under 1 other name. Lineage: Bacteria; Pseudomonadati; Pseudomonadota; Alphaproteobacteria; Rhodospirillales; Rhodospirillaceae.